AUUCGGCGAGAGGUAGUGACUCAUAUGACUUUACCAAUUGUCUUGGCGAAAUCUGAGACAGUUGUGUCUAAGUACUCUCUUUUACUCGCUACCUCGUUGUCUG
This 103-nucleotide microRNA precursor is filed under the name Fasciola hepatica (liver fluke). RNAcentral's name for it is "let-7 stem-loop (fhe-let-7)". Its record names the gene fhe-let-7. Lineage: Eukaryota; Metazoa; Platyhelminthes; Trematoda; Plagiorchiida; Fasciolidae. The record is from miRBase by way of RNAcentral.